UACAGAGGGUGCGAGCGUUAAUCGGAAUUACUGGGCGUAAAGCGUGCGUAGACGGUUAUUUAAGUCGGGUGUGAAAGCCCCGGGCUCAACCUGGGAAUUGCAUUCGAGACUGAAUAGCUAGGGUACGGUAGAGGGAAGCGGAAUUUCCGGUGUAGCGGUGAAAUGCGUAGAUAUCGGAAGGAACAUCAGUGGCGAAAGCGACUACCUGGCCUGUUCUUGACGCUGAGGCGCGAAAGCUAGGGGAGCAAACGGG
RNAcentral lists this ribosomal RNA (253 nucleotides) under uncultured bacterium. Its description in RNAcentral is "partial 16S ribosomal RNA". It matches the Rfam family "Bacterial small subunit ribosomal RNA", at positions 524 to 776 of the family's 1533-position model. The record is from RNAcentral.